UGUUCUAUGGUGUAAUUGUUAGCACUCUAGACUCUGAAUCCAGCUAUCCAAGUUCAAAUCUCGGUGGAACCU
Molecule: non-coding RNA, 72 nt
Organism: Cordylochernes scorpioides
Lineage: Eukaryota; Metazoa; Arthropoda; Arachnida; Pseudoscorpiones; Chernetidae
Source: the annotation of a GenBank genome assembly